UAGGUGCAAUUUUGUCCAAGAUCAAGGAGGAAGAAAUUUGCAUCCACAAAUUGGUGCUUUCAUUGAGAGAAGAAAUCCACACUCGUAGAAGACUCUCGCAUAAAAAAGGUUUUUCUCUAUUUUAUAGUCUACUUGUAUUUUUUCAUACAUUCUUAUUUUUAGAAUUUUUUAUUUGCAAAGAUUAUUUGAUAAAACGUAAAAGAAGAAUACAAUGGCUAGAAAAUUAGAAAAUUCCACAAGUGAAAAUUUCAAUAUUCAAGAAAUGGGACCACGGCGAUCCACGAGGCUAAAUGUGAUCAUAGGAGUGGCACCAUCACUACAGGGCUCCACCAUGACAACCACCGCGGUGGCCACCAUGGUCACCACUACCCGCGGCGAGGUCCAUGGCACCGCUACCACGGCCCAAGCCGUGCCAUCCAAAGCUCACGGCACCAAGGCCACGGCCCAAGCCAUGUCACUCCAAGCCCAACAUGAACUCAACGUGUUGC
Molecule: long non-coding RNA, 488 nt
Filed under: Malus domestica (apple)
Lineage: Eukaryota; Viridiplantae; Streptophyta; Magnoliopsida; Rosales; Rosaceae
Description: long non-coding RNA (MDOM_LNC004205)
Source: RNAcentral